This 369-nucleotide ribosomal RNA is filed under the name uncultured bacterium. Its description in RNAcentral is "bacterial SSU rRNA". It matches the Rfam family "Bacterial small subunit ribosomal RNA", at positions 527 to 896 of the family's 1533-position model. The record is from RNAcentral.
GAGAGGCGCAAACGUUAUUCGGAUUUACUGGGCUUAAAGAGUUCGUAGGCGGCGCAGAAAGUAGGGUGUGAAAGCCCUCGGCUCAACCGAGGAAUUGCGCUCUAAACUACUGUGCUUGAGGAAGCUAGAGGUGAGCGGAACUGAUGGUGGAGCGGUGAAAUGCGUUGAUAUCAUCAGGAACACCGGAGGCGAAGGCGGCUCACUGGGGCUUAUCUGACGCUGAGGAACGAAAGCCAGGGGAGCGAACGGGAUUAGAUACCCCGGUAGUCCUGGCCGUAAACGAUGAGCACUAGGCCGGAGGUCUGCACAGAUUUCCGGCCGUAGCUAAAGUGUUAAGUGCUCCGCCUGGGGAGUAUGGUCGCAAGGCUG